Molecule: ribosomal RNA, 484 nt
Filed under: uncultured bacterium
Lineage: Bacteria
Description: partial 16S ribosomal RNA
Rfam family: Bacterial small subunit ribosomal RNA
Source: RNAcentral
AUUGAACGCUGGCGGCAGGCCUAACACAUGCAAGUCGAGCGGAUGAAGGGAGCUUGCUCCUGGAUUCAGCGGCGGACGGGUGAGUAAUGCCUAGGAAUCUGCCUGGUAGUGGGGGAUAACGUCCGUAAACGGGCGCUAAUACCGCAUACGUCCUGAGUGAGAAAGUGGGGGAUCUUCGGACCUCACGCUAUCAGAUGAGCCUAGGUCGGAUUAGCUAGUUGGUGGGGUAAAGGCCUACCAAGGCGACGACCCGUAACUGGUCUGAGAGGAUGAUCAGUCACACUGGAACUGAGACACGGUCCAGACUCCUACGGGAGGCAGCAGUGGGGAAUAUUGGACAAUGGGCGAAAGCCUGAUCCAGCCAUGCCGCGUGUGUGAAGAAGGUCUUCGGAUUGUAAAGCACUUUAAGUUGGGAGGAAGGGCAGUAAGUUAAUACCUUGCUGUUUUGACGGUACCAAAAGAAUAAGCACCGGCUAACUUCGUG